GCGAAAGCCUGAUGCAGCAACGCCGCGUGAGCGAUGAAGGCCUUCGGGUUGUAAAGCUCUGUCUUCGCUGACGAAGAAUGACGGUAAGCGAGGAGGAAGCCACGGCUAACUACGUGCCAGCAGCCGCGGUAAUACGUAGGUGGCAAGCGUUGUCCGGAAUUACUGGGCGUAAAGAAUGCGUAGGCGGCUUUUUAAGUGGGAUGUGAAAUCCCUGGGCUCAACCCAGGAACUGCAUUCCAAACUGGAAAGCUAGAGUGCGGGAGAGGAAAUUGGUAUUCCCAGUGUAGCGGUGAAAUGCGUAGAGAUUGGGAGGAACACCAGUAGCGAAGGCGAAUUUCUGGAACGUAACUGACGCUGAGGCAUGAAAGCGUGGGGAGCAAACAGGAUUAGACACCCUGGUAGUCCACGCCGUAAACGAUGAGUACUAGGUGUAGGGGGGUACCACCCCCUGUGCCGCAGUUAACACAUUAAGUACUCCGCCUGGGAAG
Molecule: ribosomal RNA, 488 nt
Filed under: uncultured bacterium
Lineage: Bacteria
Description: bacterial SSU rRNA
Rfam family: Bacterial small subunit ribosomal RNA
Source: RNAcentral